AUUGAACGCUGGCGGCAUGCCUUACACAUGCAAGUCGAACGGCAGCGCGGACUUCGGUCUGGCGGCGAGUGGCGAACGGGUGAGUAAUACAUCGGAACGUACCCUGUUGUGGGGGAUAACUAGUCGAAAGAUUAGCUAAUACCGCAUACGACCUGAGGGUGAAAGUGGGGGACCGCAAGGCCUCACGCAGCAGGAGCGGCCGAUGUCUGAUUAGCUAGUUGGUGGGGUAAGGGCCCACCAAGGGGACGAUCAGUAGCUGGUCUGAGAGGAAGGUCAGGCCAACUGGGACUGAGAAACGGCCCAGACUCCUACGGGAGGCAGCAGUGGGGAAUUUUGGACAAUGGGGGCAACCCUGAUCCAGCAAUGCCGCGUGUGUGAAGAAGGCCUUCGGGUUGUAAAGCACUUUUGUCCGGAAAGAAAUCGCGCUGGUUAAUACCUGGCGUGGAUGACGGUACCGGAAGAAUAAGCACCGGCUAACUACGUGCCAGCCGCCGCCGUAA
RNAcentral lists this ribosomal RNA (500 nucleotides) under uncultured bacterium. RNAcentral's name for it is "partial 16S ribosomal RNA". It matches the Rfam family "Bacterial small subunit ribosomal RNA", at positions 29 to 523 of the family's 1533-position model. The record is from RNAcentral.